RNAcentral lists this ribosomal RNA (500 nucleotides) under uncultured bacterium. RNAcentral describes it as "partial 16S ribosomal RNA". It matches the Rfam family "Bacterial small subunit ribosomal RNA", at positions 30 to 523 of the family's 1533-position model. The record is from RNAcentral.
AUUGAACGCUGGCGGCAGGCCUAACACAUGCAAGUCGAGCGGUAGAGAGAAGCUUGCUUCUCUUGAGAGCGGCGGACGGGUGAGUAAUGCCUAGGAAUCUGCCUGGUAGUGGGGGAUAACGUUCGGAAACGGACGCUAAUACCGCAUACGUCCUACGGGAGAAAGCAGGGGACCUUCGGGCCUUGCGCUAUCAGAUGAGCCUAGGUCGGAUUAGCUAGUUGGUGAGGUAAUGGCUCACCAAGGCGACGAUCCGUAACUGGUCUGAGAGGAUGAUCAGUCACACUGGAACUGGGACACGGUCCAGACUCCUACGGGAGGCAGCAGUGGGGAAUAUUGGACAAUGGGCGAAAGCCUGAUCCAGCCAUGCCGCGUGUGUGAAGAAGGUCUUCGGAUUGUAAAGCACUUUAAGUUGGGAGGAAGGGUUGUAGACUAAUACUCUGCAAUUUUGACGUUACCGACAGAAUAAGCACCGGCUAACUCUGUGCCAGCAGCCGCGGUAA